GAACAAUUAGUUAGUUGUGGUAGCUCAAUGGUUGCGGGUUCAAAUCUCAGCCCAGCAAUUUUUGUUGUGCACAUGCUUCAACCAGCCCACCAAGGUAGUAUUAUCAUUCAUCUUUGGGUGCACUAUCAACUAUAUCCCAAUUUCUUAAGGUAUAUAUGCAUAUAUAUACACAUUUUUUUUCGACGUUAACGGGUGCGCAUGCAAAUUUGGAAGAUACUCUUCUUGGCAAAAACAUGAUUUUUUUUUUUUUGAGUUCUUGUCCAAACUUUUUGGGGAGCAUCUUUUUUUUUUUCUUUCUGAAGUAAACAGAAGUUGUAUUCUCGUGCAUUUUGGGGUUUGGGGCUUCGGGUAGGAUGGUUAAGGGGUAAAACAAGAUGGAGAAAAUGGUCUAGUCAUAGAAAGGGGUUCAUGGAACUAGAAGGUUCAGCCGCAGGUUCUUUAUCCUUUUCUUGUAAUUCCUCAUCCCUGGAUUUAGCAUACUUAGGGACAUUUUCGAAUUGAAAUUCCUGUCGAUGCCCAUCCCCGUUUCCAUCCUCAUCAAAACCAACCCAAACAAGCGUAGGAGCCAAUAUCUUAGUACUGCUUCAAGACAGUAGCAGUAUCAUUUGAGUUCAGGUAGGAUGACCCAAACUGGAGCUAUAGGAGUUUCAAUUAAAAUUAGAAGUCCAAUUGAAAAGACUCUAUAGUCUGCCUACUAUCCAUAAUUUUUGUUUAAACCAUACGUUGUUGUCAUUUACAUUCUCAAGGUGAAUAUAUAAAUGUGUGGAAUUGAAGUGAGUGAUUUUUGCCUUACCACUUAACCGAACUUUAGAGUUGAAGCUUCUUCGAAUAACCUCCAUUUUGGGCAUUGUAGAGGAAAAUUUCCCUACGACAGUGAACCUGCAUUUGUGCGCAACUUAACCAUAUAGUCAUCUCUCUUGAAAAUUACAGAUGGGUAGCCCUGUUUUGUGUUAAUCUUGGCAGGCCUUAGUUUGCUUUGGGUGUCCUCCGGAGCAGCAAUGUUAUUCGAUUAUAGUUGAAUAGCAUAGGAGGGUAUAACAGAAGGUGUGAGAGGUUCUAUUUCUGAGCUCGGCUUAGGAAAAUUUCUGUACCAUGGAUCACCACAACUGCCUGAUCGAUCUGUUUGGUAUGAGUGUUGGAUUGGGUUUAGAUAGGUCUGUUUCGUUGAUUUUAGGAGCUGUGGGUUUGUUAAAGUUGGAUGAAAUCGUAAGCAUAUUAUUUCCCGACUUCUCCUGUGGUCUUUUUAGCAGUGCCCAUGGCUUCACCAUUUACAAUAUUGGAGGGAUUGGGAGUAGUCAGGUCUUGCAUGUUUGUUUCUGGGUUAGGAGAAAUCAUAUUGAGGUUGUUGGAUAUGGGAUUUUGGAUUGAAGAGGUAGGGUAUGGUCAGAGGCGGAUUCAGAAUUUCAAACUUGUGGAUUCCCAGGGCUCCUUUCCCUACCACUAAGAUGAUAAAUGACAGAGAAGAAAACAGUAGGAUUCUGCUUGAAGCAGCAGAAAAUGGUGAUGUCUCUGCAUUCAAAUGGGCAGUAGCUUUACAUAGAAGCAUUGAUGAACCAUAUGACUUCGGGGAAGGUAGGCUCAGAACACCCCUCAUGAUUGCCUGCUUUCACGGCCAAGUUGAAGUUAUAAAGUUUUUGAUCAAGACAAACUGCGUUUUCGUUAACUUUCAGAGUAGCGAUGGCAUAACUGCCAUCCAAUACUCCAUUCAGGCGCAACUCCCGAGGAUAUCUUCCAACAACUAAUAUUGGCAGCUAGAAAUUUUCUUAUAAACCACUACAAAGUAACACCCUGUCCGUACAGAUUCAUUCACGGCUGGAAAAUUUGUCCGUAUUUGCACGAAGAUCAAAACUGCACAAGGCGUAAUCCUUUCAAAAUAUGGCUACUCUUCAGCCCAGUGCCAUCUCUUCGCACGUGGCCAGUGCAUUAAUGAGUAUAUUGUAGAAGGACACAUGGGAUGGAUGAAUUUCUCUACCACCCGAAUGUUUUCAGAACUAAGCCAUGUAUUCAUGGACGUAAUUGUUGGAACAAGGACAAUGGGGUCUGUAAACAUGCCCAUUAUGGAGAGGAUGAGCUCGUCAAUACCUUUCCCUCUUUCAACCCCACCAAUCUUGACAUUGUGAUGCAGCACUGGCGUACCGUCCAUGAGGAGCUCUGGAAAUAUACAUAGGAUCUUUUCUCUUUUCUCUUUUCUCUUUUCCUUUAAAGUAACUUUUUUCUUACUUUUUUAGUCACUUUUUUCUUCACUUCCUUCACCUUAUUCUUGCAGCUCUGGUUUCCCAAGAAGACUGUCAGGAUUUUAGGAAGCUUAAUACCAGUUUGGUGUGGAGUGCUGAACAACCAGAUAUCUAACUCACGAUUUGACAAUUUGGCUGCAUAUUAGUUUGAACAAGUAGCUGAUUGCAAGAUUUUUUAAGAGCUAUAAAAUAAACAAGAUCAGGAGCAAUCCUGCAAGCAUCAGGAGGAGAUAAAUUAUACCACAUGGGGAUGGCAGGAUAGAAGUGAUUGGUGGGGAGGAUUCUUGAUUUCUCCUUUGCCAUACAAAUUUUUAGAGGUUGCUUCCUACACAUGUAAUUAUGCUUCAGAUUGUUAGAUUAAUUGUAGAGUUUCCCAAGUGUAUAUGUUUCGUUAUUAUUCUCGAGAAGUUUGCAACACCACAUUUCUUUUAUAAUGACUUGGACAGCGGUA
This is a long non-coding RNA of Capsicum annuum, 2685 nucleotides long. RefSeq lists it as uncharacterized. Lineage: Eukaryota; Viridiplantae; Streptophyta; Magnoliopsida; Solanales; Solanaceae. The transcript has 4 exons. The record is from RefSeq and is a predicted model, not a curated record.